UACGUAGGUGGCAAGCGUUGUCCGGAUUUACUGGGCGUAAAGAGCGCGCAGGCGGUCGUUCAAGUCGAGUGUGAAAGCCCCCGGCUCAACUGGGGAGGGUCACUCGAUACUGAUCGACUCGAAGGCAGAAGAGGGAAGCGGAAUUCCCGGUGUAGUGGUGAAAUGCACAGAUAUCGGGAGGAACACCGGUGGCGAAGGCGGUUCUCUGGGCCUUAUCUGACGCUGAGGAGCGAAAGCGUGGGGAGCGAACAGG
This 253-nucleotide ribosomal RNA is filed under the name uncultured bacterium. RNAcentral describes it as "partial 16S ribosomal RNA". It matches the Rfam family "Bacterial small subunit ribosomal RNA", at positions 524 to 776 of the family's 1533-position model. The record is from RNAcentral.